CCCUUAGAUGUUCUGGGCCGCACACGCGCUACACUGAAGGAGGCAGCGUGUACUCCUGGAUCGAAAGAUUUGGGUAACCCGCGAAUCUCCUUCGUGCUAGGGAUUGAGGUUUGCAAUUAUCCUUCAUGAACGAGGAAUUCCCAGUAAGUGCAAGUCAUAAGCUUGCGCUGACUACGUGCCUGCCCUUUGUACACACCGCCCGUCGCUACUACCGAUUGAAUGAUUUAGUGAGGACUUCGGACUGGGACCGAUGCGGCUUUCGGGCUGCGUCGGUAUUCUGGAAAGAUGUCCAAACUGUAUCAUUUAGAGGAAGUAAAAGUCGUAACA
RNAcentral lists this ribosomal RNA (327 nucleotides) under uncultured eukaryote. RNAcentral describes it as "partial 18S ribosomal RNA". It matches the Rfam family "Eukaryotic small subunit ribosomal RNA", at positions 1470 to 1796 of the family's 1831-position model. The record is from RNAcentral.